Molecule: ribosomal RNA, 707 nt
Filed under: uncultured bacterium
Lineage: Bacteria
Description: bacterial SSU rRNA
Rfam family: Bacterial small subunit ribosomal RNA
Source: RNAcentral
AAGGCCUUCGGGUUGAAACCUCUUUCAGCAGGGAAGAAGCGAAAGUGACGGUACCUGCAGAAGAAGCACCGGCUAACUACGUGCCAGCAGCCGCGGUAAUACGUAGGGUGCGAGCGUUGUCCGGAAUUAUUGGGCGUAAAGAGCUUGUAGGCGGUUUGUCGCGUCUGCUGUGAAAACUCGAGGCUUAACCUCGAGCUUGCAGUGGGUACGGGCAGACUAGAGUGUGGUAGGGGAGACUGGAAUUCCUGGUGUAGCGGUGAAAUGCGCAGAUAUCAGGAGGAACACCGAUGGCGAAGGCAGGUCUCUGGGCCACUACUGACGCUGAGAAGCGAAAGCAUGGGGAGCGAACAGGAUUAGAUACCCUGGUAGUCCAUGCCGUAAACGUUGGGAACUAGGUGUGGGUCUCAUUCCACGAGAUCCGUGCCGCAGCUAACGCAUUAAGUUCCCCGCCUGGGGAGUACGGCCGCAAGGCUAAAACUCAAAGGAAUUGACGGGGGCCCGCACAAGCGGCGGAGCAUGCUGAUUAAUUCGAUGCAACGCGAAGAACCUUACCAAGGCUUGACAUAUACCGGAAACACUUGGAAACAGGUGCCCCGCAAGGUCGGUAUACAGGUGGUGCAUGGUUGUCGUCAGCUCGUGUCGUGAGAUGUUGGGUUAAGUCCCGCAACGAGCGCAACCCUCGUUCUAUGUUGCCAGCGCGUCAUGGC